This 702-nucleotide ribosomal RNA is filed under the name uncultured Novosphingobium sp. Its description in RNAcentral is "bacterial SSU rRNA". It matches the Rfam family "Bacterial small subunit ribosomal RNA", at positions 28 to 776 of the family's 1533-position model. The record is from RNAcentral. Lineage: Bacteria; Pseudomonadati; Pseudomonadota; Alphaproteobacteria; Sphingomonadales; Sphingomonadaceae.
AACGAACGCUGGCGGCAUGCCUAACACAUGCAAGUCGAACGAGACCUUCGGGUCUAGUGGCGCACGGGUGCGUAACGCGUGGGAAUCUGCCCUUGGGUUCGGAAUAACAGUGAGAAAUUACUGCUAAUACCGGAUGAUGUCUUCGGACCAAAGAUUUAUCGCCCAGGGAUGAGCCCGCGUAGGAUUAGCUAGUUGGUGGGGUAAUGGCCUACCAAGGCGACGAUCCUUAGCUGGUCUGAGAGGAUGAUCAGCCACACUGGGACUGAGACACGGCCCAGACUCCUACGGGAGGCAGCAGUGGGGAAUAUUGGACAAUGGGCGAAAGCCUGAUCCAGCAAUGCCGCGUGAGUGAUGAAGGCCUUAGGGUUGUAAAGCUCUUUUACCAGGGAUGAUAAUGACAGUACCUGGAGAAUAAGCUCCGGCUAACUCCGUGCCAGCAGCCGCGGUAAUACGGAGGGAGCUAGCGUUGUUCGGAAUUACUGGGCGUAAAGCGCGCGUAGGCGGUUACUCAAGUCAGAGGUGAAAGCCCGGGGCUCAACCCCGGAACUGCCUUUGAAACUAGGUGACUAGAAUCUUGGAGAGGUCAGUGGAAUUCCGAGUGUAGAGGUGAAAUUCGUAGAUAUUCGGAGGAACACCAGUGGCGAAGGCGACUGACUGGACAAGUAUUGACGCUGAGGUGCGAAAGCGUGGGGAGCAAACAGG